CUCAGAGGGGGGCCAGAGGGAGGGCAGGAGAGGAAAGAAAAGAAAGCUGGUGAGUUUUUUGGAUACUAAGUGACCCCAUCAUGGAAAUAAACAAGCCCUUCUCUCUCAGGAUAUGUUACCAGCCAUCUCCAACUCCAACUGCAGUUGUCAGCUCCUCACCAGAAAUAGAACUACUGACCCCACGAAAAAUUCUACUGAGAGGAGAGAGAGUUAAAGAAUUUUAAUGAAGGCCUACUUUAAAAAGGGCAUCAAUGUGCUCCUCUGCACAAACGUCUCCUGUCAGCAUCCAGAGAGACCCAAAGAUGCACUUCAGGUGGGAGAGCAUCGCCCCUCUACGCAGCCAGGGAGGACUGGUCCUGUUGGGCAGGUAUGGGGACAGAAAGAAACUUAGACGUGGGGAGGGGCGUUGGGGGGAGAGGAGGGCCCAGAGGACUGGAUCUUUCCUCUCCGGAGACUGCUGUGCCUUUUCUUCCACCUGGUUCCUGGCGGGGAGUCCUGGCCCUCCCUUGGGGGGCCUGUUGAAACAGUGAAAGCACAGGUCAGCCAUCAGGCAAAUAAUAAACAUAUUUGCGUUGCACGUCUGUUAAGCCUGUUUAAUGGGUCGUCCCUACAUGGAAAUGGGCUUCCUACCCCAGCCCCCUUCGCUCCACCUGUAUCAACAACAAUGCCUCCGCACAAUUAUCUUACCUUAAUGAACUUAAUCUUUAAUUUCCCAGCUUGGCCCUGGUACUCAGCCUCCUAACAAAGGAAGUGGGACUGUUUGAGUCCCCGUGAGCCGCCUUCCUCCAACAGCUAGGGAAACUUUAGCCACGACAAGGAUUUUUGCCCCUUGUGGAACUGUCAAAAGCAAUAAAUAUUUUUCUUUUUAUUCCAUCAUUAGACCCUCCU
This 888-nucleotide long non-coding RNA is filed under the name Equus caballus (horse). RNAcentral's name for it is "lncRNA (ENSECAG00000047257.1)". The record is from RNAcentral. Lineage: Eukaryota; Metazoa; Chordata; Mammalia; Perissodactyla; Equidae.